CAAUAGCGUAUAUUUAAGUUGUUGCAGUUAAAAAGCUCGUAGCUGGAUUUCGGUUAAGAGCGACCGGUCCGCCGUUUGGUGUGCACUGGUUGGUUUUAACUUCCUGUAGAGGACGUGCUCUGGGUUUAACGACCUGGACUCGGAGUCUACGUGGUUACUUUGAAAAAAUUAGAGUGUUCAAAGCGGGCUUACGCUUGAAUAUUUCAGCAUGGAAUAACACUAUAGGACUCCUGUCCUAUUUCGUUGGUCUCGGGACGGGAGUAAUGAUUAAGAGGAACAGUUGGGGGCAUUCGUAUUUCAUUGUCAGAGGUGAAAUUCUUGGAUUUAUGAAAGACGAACUUCUGCGAAAGCAUUUGCCAAGGAUGUUUUCAUUAA
This 375-nucleotide ribosomal RNA is filed under the name uncultured eukaryote. RNAcentral's name for it is "partial 18S ribosomal RNA". It matches the Rfam family "Eukaryotic small subunit ribosomal RNA", at positions 592 to 976 of the family's 1831-position model. The record is from RNAcentral.